GCGAGUGGUGGUGAGGAGGGGAAACAGGCUGAGUAACAGGGGACCACGAGGCCACAGUCUCUGUUGACCUUCUUCCUCUAUUGCUUCCAG
RNAcentral lists this microRNA precursor (90 nucleotides) under Mus pahari (shrew mouse). RNAcentral describes it as "microRNA 7088 (MGP_PahariEiJ_G0006696.1)". Lineage: Eukaryota; Metazoa; Chordata; Mammalia; Rodentia; Muridae. The record is from RNAcentral.